This 297-nucleotide unclassified non-coding RNA is filed under the name uncultured Polyporales. Its description in RNAcentral is "sequence contains 5.8S rRNA gene, ITS2, 28S rRNA gene". The stretch from base 1 to 52 matches the Rfam family "5.8S ribosomal RNA", at positions 103 to 154 of the family's 154-position model. Lineage: Eukaryota; Fungi; Basidiomycota; Agaricomycetes; Polyporales. The record is from RNAcentral.
AACGCACCUUGCGCUCCUUGGUAUUCCGAGGAGCAUGCCUGUUUGAGUGUCAUGAAAUUCUCAAACCCAAUAGUCUUUGCGGACUAGUGGGCUUUGGACUUGGAGGCUUGUCGGCGACUGCAAAGUCAUCGACUCCUCUCAAAUGCAUUAGCUUGAUUCCUUGCGGAUCGGCUCUCGGUGUGAUAAUUGUCUACGCCGUGACCGUGAAGCGUUUUGGCGAGCUUCUAAUCGUCUCUUGCGAGACAGCUUACAUUGACCUCUGACCUCAAAUCAGGUAGGACUACCCGCUGAACUUAA